CCCUUAGACGUUCUGGGUCGCACGCGCGCUACACUGACCAGUGCAACAAGCAUCCGUCCUUGGCCGACAGGCCCGGGCAAUCUUUGAACGCUGGUCGUGAUGGGGAUAGACUUUUGCAAUUUUUGGUCUUCAACGAGGAAUUCCUAGUAAACGCAAGUCAUCAACUUGCAUUGAUUACGUCCCUGCCCUUUGUACACACCGCCCGUCGCACCUACCGAUUGAAUGGUCCGGUGAAGCCUCCGGAUUGGCGCGCACCUCGGUGCCGCCGAGAAGUUGGCUAAACCUUACCAUUUAGAGGAAGGUGAANUCGUANCA
Molecule: ribosomal RNA, 315 nt
Filed under: uncultured eukaryote
Lineage: Eukaryota
Description: partial 18S ribosomal RNA
Rfam family: Eukaryotic small subunit ribosomal RNA
Source: RNAcentral